GUGGCGAGACUGUUAUCAAUCUUACAUUUUAGGAUAAGAAUUUUUGUCAUUUCUCAUAAAGAUUUAAAAAUUUUUACAAAUAUAUCUUAGCAGGAACAGGAUUUAAUUUUUAAAGGAAGAUAAAGUGCUAGUAGUUUAAGAUAAAAUUAAAGAUAAAAAUAUUGCAAUUCAGAAGAAAAAUGUUUAAAUAAAUAGACUGGUUUAUGUAAACAAUUCCGGCAAGAGGUAGUGAAUGACAGGACUCUGUUAAUUCCAAGCUGAUUGAAAGCUAAGGUUUCUGCACCUGUUCCAUAACUUCUGGGAUCUGUCUCUGUUGCUGCAAGUAUGCAUUCCGCCAUUGGCUUCUGAUCUCCCGACUGAGACUUU
Molecule: long non-coding RNA, 366 nt
Filed under: Papio anubis (olive baboon)
Lineage: Eukaryota; Metazoa; Chordata; Mammalia; Primates; Cercopithecidae
Description: lncRNA (ENSPANG00000039395.1)
Source: RNAcentral